AACGAACGCUGGUGGCGUGUUUUAUACAUGCAAGUCGAGCGAGGACAGUAGCUUGCUACUGAGCCGAGCGGCGAACGGGUGAGUAACGCGUAAGCAAUCUGCCCCACAAUCGGGAACAACCGUGCCAACGCGCGGCUAAUGCCGGAUAUUGUGUCCUACUGCAUAGUAGGUUAACGAAAGAUUUAUCGUUGUGGGAUGAGCUUGCGUCCGAUUAGCUAGUUGGCGGGGUAAAGGCCCACCAAGGCGACGAUCCGUAGCUGGUCUGAGAGGAUGAUCAGCCACACUGGAACUGAGACACGGUCCAGACUCCUACGGGAGGCAGCAGUGGGGAAUAUUGGACAAUGGGCGCAAGCCUGAUCCAGCAAUGCCGCGUGUGUGAAGAAGGCCUUCGGGUUGUAAAGCACUUUUAUCAGGAACGAAAGACGUUGGAUUAAUACUCUGACGUGCUGACGGUACCUGAGGAAUAAGCACCGGCUAACUUCGUG
Molecule: ribosomal RNA, 485 nt
Filed under: uncultured bacterium
Lineage: Bacteria
Description: bacterial SSU rRNA
Rfam family: Bacterial small subunit ribosomal RNA
Source: RNAcentral